RNAcentral lists this unclassified non-coding RNA (344 nucleotides) under uncultured fungus. RNAcentral describes it as "partial contains 5.8S ribosomal RNA, internal transcribed spacer 2, and large subunit ribosomal RNA". Lineage: Eukaryota; Fungi. The record is from RNAcentral.
AACGCAACUUGCACUCUCUCCGGAGAGUAUGUCUGUUUGAGAAUCGGCUUACUCUCUCACACGUGUGUGGGGAUCUGGGCGGAGUGCCUCUCCAGCACCCGCCUGAAAUGCAUGUUUUGGUGCGGUCCCCAAGGGCACUCGUGCAGCGGCCACAAAACCCACUGUGUUUGAAUAGGGCUCUGCGUCGGGCGGUUUGCCAGGCCGGACGCUUUUGCUGCGCACUGGGAGGCAGUUGCCCGGGCAGUCCCGGGGCUCGUCAGCCAGAAUCAACAAGUUGCCCCGGCAGGAAUGCCUCGGCACCACCAAACGAUCUCAAAUCAGUCAAGACCACCCGCUGAACUUAA